Camellia sinensis is the source of this 1412-nucleotide non-coding RNA. The record is from RefSeq and is a predicted model, not a curated record. NCBI's taxonomy places the organism in Eukaryota, Viridiplantae, Streptophyta, Magnoliopsida, Ericales, Theaceae.
UUUUCCCUUUUAUGUUAUACAACAAAGGAAAUAACCCAACUGAAGAAAUAAAUCAAAUUUGAUACAGCAAAAUCCGCAUACCAGAUCGACUUAGAGACCGAGAAGGAUGUCCAAAAAUUCUGAAUUUGGUGAAGUGAAUUUGAUUUUGGCUGGUCAAAGAGGCGGGAGCCAAAUCAUGAAGCAAGGGUUUAUCAUUCUAUGUCUUUCAUUCCAUCCUUAUCUAUCAUCUACACCACAAAUUCGUUGUGUUUUCAUCUUCUACGAUCAGAGUUCAUUAGGGUCUGCAUGCCAUUAAUUUAGGAGACAGUGGGCUUAUAGUGGUUAGAGAUGGAUGCACCAUUUUCCGAUCCCCUGUGCAGCAGCAUGAUUUUAACUUCACAUACCAAUUGGAGAGUGGAAAUGGCGGUGAUUUGCCUAGCUCUGGUCAGGUCUUUACAAUUCCUGUUGCUCCAGGAGAAGUUGUAAUUGCUGGCACUGAUGGACUCUUUGACAAUUUGUACAACAAUGAGGUUACUGCAGUGGUGGCUCAUGCCAUGAGAGCUGGCUUGGGGCCCCAGGUUACAGCUCAGAAGAUAGCAGCGCUGGCUUGCCAACGAGUCCAGGAUAAGAACCGUCAGACUCCUUUUUCCACAGCUGCCCAAGAUACUGGUUCCGUUAUUAUGGUGGCAAGCUUGAUGACAUCACCGUCAUCGUUUCCUAUAUUACCAGCACCAGAAAUCAACAAAAAAGUAUUUUAUUAGAAGGAGAGAAAAAAUACAAACAGGAGGACAAUGAGUCUGCCACAAUAUCAAUGCCUCAAAACUACACAUCACACUGCUAUCCAAUCUCUAGAAAUCAAAAGAAAGGAAUCCCUUUAAAUGGAGAGAAAACAGAAGCCCAAAAGGAUGCCAGGGGGGAGAUAUAGUUGUUUUAAAAAGUAUCAUUAGACCAACAGAAACAGUUGCAAUCGGAGUAUUUAAAAGCACAGACGCAUUUAAAAAAGUAGAAGGAGAAGAAUUAUGACCUGACUAUUGGGAGGUACAUGUUCAAGUGCCAAUCAAACCUAAUGAGAGCUUGAUCAGAUCAUAUGGACUUGUCAAAACAGUUGGAUAAGCUAUUGGAGCUCAUGUUGCUUGGCCUGCUCCAUUUGUGAUAUAUUUUUUUCGUAAAUAAUAAUUUCAUUAACAAAUUUAUAUUAACUUAAUAUAGUGUCAAUUACCUUUAUAAGUUUAUCUUUUGGAUGUAGAUUUCGCAAGUUAUGGAUGCUAGCCGAGAAUAUUUAUACAAGUAAGGUUGAGAGUUUUGGAAUUGAUUUUGUUUUGAUAAUUUGUCUCUUUGAAAUAUAGAUGUCACUACUAUGGCUUUUCAGAAUUUAUGGUUGGAAUAAUUUUCUUUUUAAUUUUUUUUUGCUUUAACUUUGUUAGUGUAGUAGA